CACAGUUACUGUUAGCAACUUACUUCGAUACUAGGGGAAAAAAUCUAUGUUUAUCAGGUGUCACAAGGGCUUGGUUGGACAAACAGUGUCGAGGGAUGAGGCCAGUAUGGCAAGAGAAAGGAAAGUCAGAGCUCAUCUCUCUGUUCUGUUUAACUAUAAAAAGGUCCAAUUCAAAUAGCCUAGAAGAGACAACACAGCUGGCCCAAAGCUCAUCAGGCAAUGUCCCCUGCUGAUUAAUGACCUUUCCAUCGCAACAGGAGCCGCCAGGAAGAUGUGCAAUUUGCUAAGAGAACCUUUAGCACAGUGUCCUUAGCACAUUCAACAUGCAACUGUUGUCUAAAUGUGCAAUUACAGGGCAAAGGCACAACAGAGAGAUGCAGAUCUGGCUUGACAACACCAGGUCCUUCUGGGUUCUAUUUGAAAGAUGUUUGGAAGUCUUUUGUAUGCAAACCCCAGCAGUUAAAUUGUACACGAAUGGGAAAUUGUCUUAAAAAUAAGAUUGUCUACAGGAUGGGAGACUCCACCACAAGGCAGUGGUUUGAGUAUUUAUAAAGAAAAGUGCCAGUCAAGUUGUUCAGUGACAUAAAUGACUUUGAUUUGGGGGUGGGUACUUUUUUCUCUCUUAAAAAAUUGUCAUAUUGUUGAAGAAUUGAUAGCAUGAAUGUAUAAAAUUAACUAAAUUAGAAAUCAACCGAGAUG
Long non-coding RNA from Sinocyclocheilus rhinocerous, 699 nucleotides. RefSeq lists it as uncharacterized. The record is from RefSeq and is a predicted model, not a curated record. Lineage: Eukaryota; Metazoa; Chordata; Actinopteri; Cypriniformes; Cyprinidae. The transcript has 3 exons.